Molecule: ribosomal RNA, 245 nt
Filed under: uncultured bacterium
Lineage: Bacteria
Description: partial 16S ribosomal RNA
Rfam family: Bacterial small subunit ribosomal RNA
Source: RNAcentral
AACGUAGGUGGCGAACGUUAUCCGGAUUUACUGGGCGUAAAGAGUGCGCAGGCGGCCAAACAAGUCAGAUGUAAAAUCUCCUGGCUCAACUGGGAGGGACCAUCUGAUACUGUUUGGCUAGAGUACAGCAGAGGAAAGUGGAAUUCCCGGUGUAGUGGUGGAAUGCGUAGAUAUCGGGAGGAACACCUGUGGCGAAAGCGGCUUUCUGGGCUGUUACUGACGCUGUUGCACGAAAGCGUGGGGAG